This 513-nucleotide ribosomal RNA is filed under the name uncultured bacterium. RNAcentral's name for it is "partial 16S ribosomal RNA". It matches the Rfam family "Bacterial small subunit ribosomal RNA", at positions 28 to 523 of the family's 1533-position model. The record is from RNAcentral.
GACGAACGCUGGCGGCAUGCCUAAUACAUGCAAGUCGAGCGAACAGAUGAAGUGCUUGCACUUCUGACGUUAGCGGCGAACGGGUGAGUAACACGUAAGGAAUCUACCUAUAAGCGGGGGAUAACAUUCGGAAACGGGUGCUAAUACCGCAUAAUAUCUUCUUCCGCGCGGAAGAAGAUUGAAAGACGGCUCUGCUGUCACUUAUAGAUGACCUUGCGGUGCAUUAGUUAGUUGGUGGGGUAACGGCCUACCAAGACGAUGAUGCAUAGCCGACCUGAGAGGGUGAUCGGCCACAUUGGGACUGAGACACGGCCCAAACUCCUACGGGAGGCAGCAGUAGGGAAUCUUCCGCAAUGGGCGAAAGUCUGACGGAGCAAUGCCGCGUGAGUGAAGAAGGCCUUCGGGUCGUAAAACUCUGUUAUAAGAGAAGAACAAAUUGUAGAGUAACUGCUACAGUCUUGACGGUAUCUUAUCAGAAAGCCACGGCUAACUACGUGCCAGCCGCCGCAGUAA